ACUAGAUCGGCAUCGAACUAGUAUUAAAGGAGCGAAUGCUCCGCUACUGGAUGGACUCGCGGUGCAUUAGCUAGUUGGUGAGGUAGAGGCUCACCAAGGCGAUGAUGCAUAGCCGACCUGAGAGGGUGAACGGCCACAUUGGGACUGAGACACGGGCCCAGACUCCUACGGGGAGGCAGCAGUAGGGAAUUUUCGUCAAUGGGGGAAACCCUGAACGAGCAAUGCCGCGUGAGUGAAGAAGGAUUUCGGUCU
Molecule: ribosomal RNA, 252 nt
Filed under: uncultured Bacillota bacterium
Lineage: Bacteria; Bacillati; Bacillota
Description: uncultured Firmicutes bacterium partial 16S ribosomal RNA
Rfam family: Bacterial small subunit ribosomal RNA
Source: RNAcentral